ACCGCGGUCAUACAAGAAACCCAAAUCAAUAGCUACCCGGCGUAAAGAGUGGCCACAUGUUAUCUGCACCAGCUAAGAUUAAAAUGCAACCAAGCUGUCAUAAGCCUAAGAUCCACCUAAACCCAACCCAAAUCCAUCUUAGCCUAAACGAUUAAUUUUAACCCACGAAAGCUAGGACCCAAACUGGGAUUAGAUACCCCACUAUGCCUAGCCCUAAAUCUAGAUACCUCCCAUCACACAUGUAUCCGCCUGAGAACUACGAGCACAAACGCUUAAAACUCUAAGGACUUGGCGGUGCCCCAAACCCACCUAGAGGAGCCUGUUCUAUAAUCGAUAAUCCACGAUUCACCCAACCACCCCUUGCCAGCACAGCCUACAUACCGCCGUCGCCAGCCCACCUCUAAUGAAAGAACAACAGUGAGCUCAAUAGCCCCUCGCUAAUAAGACAGGUCAAGGUAUAGCCUAUGGGGUGGGAGAAAUGGGCUACAUUUUCUAACAUAGAACAAACGAAAAAGGACGUGAAACCCGCCCUUAGAAGGAGGAUUUAGCAGUAAAGUGAGAUCAUACCCCCUAAGCUCACUUUAAGACGGCUCUGAGGCACGUACAUACCG
Molecule: ribosomal RNA, 611 nt
Filed under: Gallus gallus (chicken)
Lineage: Eukaryota; Metazoa; Chordata; Aves; Galliformes; Phasianidae
Description: partial small subunit ribosomal RNA
Rfam family: Bacterial small subunit ribosomal RNA
Source: RNAcentral